UACGGAGGGAGCUAGCGUUGUUCGGAAUUACUGGGCGUAAAGCGCACGUAGGCGGCUUUUUUAAGUCAGGGGUGAAAGCCCGGGGCUCAACCCCGGAAUUGCCUUUAAGACUGCAUCGCUAGAAUUGUGGAGAGGUGAGUGGAAUUCCGAGUGUAGAGGUGAAAUUCGUAGAUAUUCGGAAGAACACCAGUGGCGAAGGCGACUCACUGGACACAUAUUGACGCUGAGGUGCGAAAGCGUGGGGAGCAAACAGG
RNAcentral lists this ribosomal RNA (254 nucleotides) under uncultured bacterium. RNAcentral describes it as "partial 16S ribosomal RNA". It matches the Rfam family "Bacterial small subunit ribosomal RNA", at positions 524 to 776 of the family's 1533-position model. The record is from RNAcentral.